UAAGACGAACCGUGCGAACGUUAUUCGGAAUCACUGGGCUUAAAGCGCGUGUAGGCGGGCCGGCACGUCGGUCGCUGAAAUCCCCCGGCUCAACCGGGGAAGGGGCGCCGAUACGACCGGCCUGGAGGGGCGUAGGGGGAUCGGGAACUUCCGGUGGAGCGGUGAAAUGCGUUGAGAUCGGAAGGAACGCCCGUGGCGAAAGCGCGGUCCUGGACGCCUGCUGACGCUGAGACGCGAAAGCCAGGGGAGCGAACGGGAUUAGAUACCCCGGUAGUCCUGGCCGUAAACGAUGGGCACUGGGUAGGGGGCUCGCCGAUGGGCUCCCUGCCGCAGGGAAACCGUGAAGUGCCCCGCCUGGGGAGUAUGGUCGCAAGGCUG
This 378-nucleotide ribosomal RNA is filed under the name uncultured bacterium. RNAcentral describes it as "bacterial SSU rRNA". It matches the Rfam family "Bacterial small subunit ribosomal RNA", at positions 521 to 896 of the family's 1533-position model. The record is from RNAcentral.